UAGGUGAAAGCCAAAGAGAGGCGCCUAGCUGUUAAUUAGGAGAUUGUGGAAUAGUUACUCACCUAG
This 66-nucleotide transfer RNA is filed under the name Isara chinensis. RNAcentral describes it as "tRNA-Asn". Lineage: Eukaryota; Metazoa; Mollusca; Gastropoda; Neogastropoda; Mitridae. The record is from RNAcentral.